Long non-coding RNA from Carassius carassius (crucian carp), 403 nucleotides. RefSeq lists it as uncharacterized. Lineage: Eukaryota; Metazoa; Chordata; Actinopteri; Cypriniformes; Cyprinidae. The record is from RefSeq and is a predicted model, not a curated record. The transcript is spliced from 3 exons.
GAUAGAGUUGCCAUGGAAACGGAGCGCAACACUGCAAAUGUCACGAGGAAACACUCCGUUUCUCGCUGAUUUCACUGUUUUCAGGAAUGGUUUAAUGUCUUCGAAAAAGUCCGUUAGCAUUUCUACCGUUUUCAGACAGCGCGGUUAAAGUGACAAAAUAAUCCUUCUACAACAGAAGGCAGUGUCCAAGAUUUCAAUAUUUCUGAAGGGAGCUGCUGACAGAGAUGUAGGAAGCGCUGAAAAGGUUAAGUAACCUAAUAUGCAUUUUUUUCACAACAUAUAUCGCAAUGAAUCUGUUAUUUUAUUUAUUUAUUUUUUGCAUUUCACCUGCUCUAGCUUGUUUCCAUCUAAUAAACCUGGAACUGCAGACUAAAUAUUGUUGGCUCUGUGUCAAAUUGUUUGU